CGGCGCCGGCUGAGGCGGCAGGCGGGGCUCGUGCGGGCGAGCCGGCGCGUCGGCCGACUUGCCUUCCCACAUGAGCAGGUGGAGCAGGAUCGGGCGCAGGGCGUGCCGGUGCAGCGACAGCUUCUGGCUGAGCGAGACGGUGUCGAAGCACCGGAUGGCGCCCGACGUGGACACCAUCCACGGGAGGACCUUUUGCCCGGACACCCUGGAGAUCACCAGCAGCUUCGACGCGCGCUUCGCCUCCCGGUAGAGGUCGCGCAGCCCCGACCUCGUCGACGGCGCCAGGAAGCCGCUGUCGUCCUCCAUGACGGACGAGAUGUAGAUGAAUCCCUGUGUACUACCUCCUCGGUGCGGCUAAUGGCGAAGCCGAGCUUGGUGUCGCCGGCCUCGAGGGUGAUCUCCACUGGCAUCUCACCGGCGGCGGCGGUGUACCAGACGCGCACCGCCUUCACCACGCCGAUGUCCACGCCGUGGUAGUCCUCGAACCCGUAAAGGCUGGCGUUGGCGAGGUUCGGGAGGUCGGCCAGUGACCCCGAGUUGACCUUUGAUCGCUGUUGAGGAACCUUGGUGAGGAGGGCCUCGGUCUGGACGUUGAGGAAGGAGAUGGGCACACCGGACGACUGCGAGGAGAGGAUCCAGGCGUUGGCGCGGGCGAGGGUGUCCUCGACGGAGUUGUAGCGGGAGGCGGCGCGGUCGAGCGCCGUGGGGAGGACGAGCAUGGAGAGGAAGCUGCUGGAGUUAGGGAUCGGGAGCGCCUCCCUCAUCUUCUUCUCCCACGGGUAGGCCACGUAGCCG
This 795-nucleotide small RNA is filed under the name Oryza sativa Japonica Group (Japanese rice). RNAcentral's name for it is "sRNA Os02g0717650". Lineage: Eukaryota; Viridiplantae; Streptophyta; Magnoliopsida; Poales; Poaceae. The record is from RNAcentral.